This 2083-nucleotide long non-coding RNA is filed under the name Macaca mulatta (Rhesus monkey). RNAcentral describes it as "lncRNA (ENSMMUG00000064551.1)". The record is from RNAcentral. Lineage: Eukaryota; Metazoa; Chordata; Mammalia; Primates; Cercopithecidae.
GGUGUGAGCAGCGCGGAAACUGGCGGUGUGAGCAGCGCAGGGACCAUGGGCUAUGACUAAGAAAGAGAGAGAGAGAGAGAGAGAGAGAGAGAGAGAGAAACGAGCUGGCCGAGAGGAGCAGAAGGCAGGAGGGGAAAUCUGGCACAACGGCUGGGAGAGGAAACUUGAUGCUUCUGGGCCACCAUUUGCCAGGGCCUCGCUCAAGGUAAGUACACUGGGGGCCCGCGGAGUCUGUACCUGUCAGGGUCCAGCCCCCGCCCAUAGCCGAGAGAUGGGCACCUUUACCUGGGCUAUUCAAAUAAUGAUCAAAAUGGUACGGGGAUGGGGUGCGGGUUGAGGUAGUGCUCCAGCCGGAGGGCCCGGGGCCCAGAGGAUGAUGUGCGCCUGCAAGCUUGGACCCCGGGCUCUUGCCCCUGGGCACUUUGUGCCUCCUGCCGAGGUUCCGAGCAACUGCGGGGGCUCCAACUAUCGAAUUUCCCUUCCUAAGUCACCCGUUCGACAGCUCCCUCCUUUACACACCCGCGUGCAAAUGAGCCGCUGCUCUGUCAUGAAGUGAGAAUAUGAGCCUCCCUCAAACCCUAGAAAAGGAAAGUUUGGUAAGGCGGGGGCUGCGCAGACCUGCUGUUCUCUGGAACCUAAACCGGGAACCCUAGACUUGCGCAGAAAAUUAAUAGUUUUCCAUUUUUCUUUUAAAAAAAUUACCUUGAACGAAAAAUUGUGUGUAUUCAAAAAAAGUAUUGGAUUACCAUGUCUGAUCAGCUGCUGAUGACCUACCAAUAAGCGUUUUAGACACACACGCACAUUCACGCGUGCGCGCGCGCGCACACACACACACACCCCAGGGGCUAUGUGCAGUGAGGAAGGCCGUCAUAAGUAACCAAGAAUUCAGAGGGAGUCGCGAGGGUUUUUAAGUGUGUAAAGGCUGUGUACGUGUCCUCCUUGUUACAGAGAGCAGAGGGAGGGGGCAGAGGGAGUGCGCGUCGGCUCGGCGUUUUCGCUGUGCCUGUGUGUUUCGCGUGUUGUCAGCUGGCUCUGGUUUCUAAGCGCUGAGUGCUGCCAGGGGCGGGGGCCAGCAUCCACCAUCCACCUCGGCACCCUAGUGGUGAAACAGGACUCAUUUGUUUGGUGCAGAGCGGUGACGACCUAGAAGAGACUGGAGUGUGGUUAGGUCGGCCCCCUGCCAUCCAUUACACCUGCGGCAGAUGGCUCAAGUGGUAGAAUGGUUUUGUUUGCCGAGAUCAAGAAAGGAGGAGGGGGAAGCUAGAGGCUCGCCCCACUCAAAAUAAGUACCAUAAAGAGCCAAAGAAAUGAAAGAAGCCAUAUUCGAAGGAAGCAAUAAUGUUGCUGCCUUCCAGGAGUGAACCUGGACACGUUAGUGACUUUUGCACCUGGCCCGAAUUGAUAACGACUGAAUUUUAGAAACAACAUUUUUCAAAUGUAUUUUUAAUAAAGUGCCCACUCCUCCCUACACGCACGCACACACACACACACACACACCCCACACACACCUAUCUCCAGCCAGAUGCACACAGGUGUUCUUGGAGCUCUACACCCUGAAGCCAAACGUCAGUAAGAUCCUGCGGAUUUCCAGAUGAAGGAAGCCUCUUCUCUCCCCCCACUUUAUUCAGUCGGCCUGCUAGCUUCCACACACAAGUCCCCUCUCUCCAGACAACCACCUGGCUGGAAUUUAGCUAGGUUUCAAAUGUAUCCAUCUCAUUUUCACAUGCAAUAAUGUGCCUUUCUGAUCAGUCUUCACAUCCUUGCAUCCAUUCCUUCCUCCCUGCUACUCAAGAAGCAAGAAAGGAGGACACACACCCUCCCAGGCAGUCCAGAGGAAAGGCAGGCGUGACAAAGAACACCGACACAGUCUAAUGACAAUUUAGCCUGUCUUCUAUUCCUUAAUUUUCUUGUUAAAUAAGAGAAACGAAAAGAAAAAUAUAAUGAAGGAGACCUAAACAGAAAGCCUUGUAAGCCUUGUCUCCUCCCUUACUUCACAGUCAUCACGAUAACACCCAUACACAAAUUACAUGUAUGAAUAUGCUUAUUCACAUUUCGUGUGAAAUAAAAAAUUAUUUUGCUGGCC